CCACACUGUACUUCCUGUUGGACCUCAUGCUGCUCAGCUCCACCUGGUUCUUCAGAGACACAGACAAGCAAACUUGUAGAACUCUUACCUCUCUGACUGUCUUCCUCCUCUUGGUCACGGAUGAGUGUCCAGCUGCUGUCCAGCUCCAGCUGACCUUGUAGUGGUGGACGGGAACGUCCAGGGGGUGGCGGUGUCCUCACCGGGCUGGAUGCCAAAGUUCCACCUCCUCUGCAGAAUGUAGACCACUGGCUCGGAGGAGGCGUUCAAACGGGACGACCAGCUGACGGUCAGGUGCCCGGAGGGAGAUUCCUCAAAGCUCAGGUCCUUCUUUGGUUUCAGAGGAACACCUGGAUGCAACAUUUACAGAAAAUUGUUUUUUAAAGACAAAAAUUUGAGGGUAGAACAGCGUUUUUGUGUUCUAAACUGCUUUGUCAUGUUAAUUUUGAGAAAACGGCAGCGUUCACUCAAGAUCAAUAUCGAACCGACAAAGUUUCAGAUAAUUUGGUAUGCAGGGGGAUUUGUCCGCUUGGAUGACCAGUGUCCAAGAUUUCCUGGUUGAUGUCGCUUCAUAAUUUCCUCGUGAUGUCACAAAAAGAAGCAGAGAGGUGUUGUCUUAAAAUGUAAAUGUACAUG
Long non-coding RNA from Poeciliopsis prolifica (blackstripe livebearer), 633 nucleotides. RefSeq lists it as uncharacterized. The transcript is spliced from 3 exons. NCBI's taxonomy places the organism in Eukaryota, Metazoa, Chordata, Actinopteri, Cyprinodontiformes, Poeciliidae. The record is from RefSeq and is a predicted model, not a curated record.